AGAGUUUGAUCAUGGCUCAGAGCGAACGCUGGCGGCAGGCUUAACACAUGCAAGUCGAGCGCACUCUUCGGAGUGAGCGGCGGACGGGUGAGUAACACGUGGGAACGUGCCCUUCAGUUCGGGAUAACCAAGGGAAACUUUGGCUAACACCGGAUACGCCCUUAGGGGGAAAGGUUACGCUGAAGGAGCGGCCCGCGUCUGAUUAGCUAGUUGGUGGGGUAAAGGCUCACCAAGGCUACGAUCAGUAGCUGGUCUGAGAGGAUGAUCAGCCACACUGGGACUGAGACACGGCCCAGACUCCUACGGGAGGCAGCAGUGGGGAAUCUUGCGCAAUGGGGGAAACCCUGACGCAGCCAUGCCGCGUGUAUGAUGAAGGUCUUAGGAUUGUAAAAUACUUUCACCGGGGACGAUAAUGACGGUACCCGGAGAAGAAGCCCCGGCUAACUUCGUGCCAGCAGCCGCGGUAAUACGAAGGGGGCUAGCGUUGCUCGGAUUUACUGGGCGUAAAGGGCGCGUAGGCGGAUGACCAAGUUGGGGGUGAAAGCCCGGGGCUCAACCUCGGAAUUGCCUUCAAAACUGGUCGUCUUGAGUAUGAGAGAGGUGUGUGGAACUCCGAGUGUAGAGGUGAAAUUCGUAGAUAUUCGGAAGAACACCAGUGGCGAAGGCGACACACUGGCUCAUUACUGACGCUGAGGCGCGAAAGCGUGGGGAGCAAACAGGAUUAGAUACCCUGGUAGUCCACGCCGUAAACGAUGAGUGCUAGUUGUCGGGCGGCAUGCCGUUCGGUGACGCAGCUAACGCAUUAAGCACUCCGCCUGGGGGAGUACGGUCGCAAGAUUAAAACUCAAAUGAUUGACGGGGG
This 862-nucleotide ribosomal RNA is filed under the name uncultured Alphaproteobacteria bacterium. RNAcentral describes it as "bacterial SSU rRNA". It matches the Rfam family "Bacterial small subunit ribosomal RNA", at positions 8 to 919 of the family's 1533-position model. The record is from RNAcentral. Lineage: Bacteria; Pseudomonadati; Pseudomonadota; Alphaproteobacteria.